This 497-nucleotide ribosomal RNA is filed under the name uncultured bacterium. Its description in RNAcentral is "partial 16S ribosomal RNA". It matches the Rfam family "Bacterial small subunit ribosomal RNA", at positions 28 to 507 of the family's 1533-position model. The record is from RNAcentral.
GAUGAACGCUGGCGGCGUGCCUAAUACAUGCAAGUCGAGCGAACAGACGAGGAGCUUGCUCCUCUGAUGUUAGCGGCGGACGGGUGAGUAACACGUGGAUAACCUACCUAUAAGACUGGGAUAACUUCGGGAAACCGGAGCUAAUACCGGAUAACAUGUUGAACCGCAUGGUUCAACAGUGAAAGACGGUCUUGCUGUCACUUAUAGAUGGAUCCGCGCCGCAUUAGCUAGUUGGUAAGGUAACGGCUUACCAAGGCAACGAUGCGUAGCCGACCUGAGAGGGUGAUCGGCCACACUGGAACUGAGACACGGUCCAGACUCCUACGGGAGGCAGCAGUAGGGAAUCUUCCGCAAUGGGCGAAAGCCUGACGGAGCAACGCCGCGUGAGUGAAGAAGGUCUUCGGAUCGUAAAACUCUGUUAGUAGGGAAGAAGAAAUGUGUGAGUAACUAUGGACGUCUUGACGGUACCUAAUGAGAAAGCCACGGCUAACUACGUG